Molecule: unclassified non-coding RNA, 227 nt
Filed under: rhizosphere metagenome
Description: partial ribosomal RNA internal transcribed spacer region
Source: RNAcentral
GUAGGUGAACCUGCGGAAGGAUCAUUACCGAGAUAGGGGCUCCGGCCCCGAACCUCCAACCCCUGUCUACCCACCUUUGUUGCUUUGGCGGGCCCGUGUCCGGGCUGGUCCCGGCACCUCCGCCCCCGGGGUGUGCCCGUCGAAGGCCCUUUCCAAACUCGUUUACCGGUGCAGUCUGAGCAAAUAACCAAUAAUUAAAACUUUCAACAACGGAUCUCUUGGUUCUG